AUGCUGGAGGUAUCAGAAGUGCGAAUGCUGACAUAAGUAACGAUAAUGCGGGUGAAAAACCCGCACGCCGGAAGACCAAGGGUUCCUGUCCAACGUUAAUCGGGGCAGGGUGAGUCGACCCCUAAGGCGAGGCUGAAAAGCGUAGUCGAUGGGAAACGGGUUAAUAUUCCCGUACUGGUGGUAACUGCGAUGGGGGAACGGAGAAGGCUAGGUUGUCCGGGCGACGGUCGUCCCGGUUCAAGCAUGUAGGCAGAGUGAUUAGGCAAAUCCGGUCACUUAAUGCUGAGGUGUGAUGACGAGCCACUAAGGUGGUGAAGCAAUUGAUGCCCUGCUUCCAGGAAAAGCCUCUAAGCUUCAGGUUACCAACAAUCGUACCCCAAACCGACACAGGUGGUCAGGUAGAGAAUACUCAGGCGCUUGAGAGAACUCGGGUGAAGGAACUAGGCAAAAUGGUGCCGUAACUUCGGGAGAAGGCACGCUGGCGGUAAGUGAAGUCCCUUGCGGACGGAGCCGAAGCCAGUCGAAGAUACCAGCUGGCUGCAACUGUUUAUUAAAAACACAGCACUGUGCAAACACGAAAGUGGACGUAUACGGUGUGACGCCUGCCCGGUGCUGGAAGGUUAAUUGAUGGGGUUAUCCUUAGGGAGAAGCUCUUGAUCGAAGCCCCAGUAAACGGCGGCCGUAACUAUAACGGUCCUAAGGUAGCGAAAUUCCUUGUCGGGUAAGUUCCGACCUGCACGAAUGGCGUAAUGAUGGCCAGGCUGUCUCCACCCGAGACUCAGUGAAAUUGAACUCGCUGUGAAGAUGCAGUGUACCCGCGGCAAGACGGAAAGACCCCGUGAACCUUUACUAUAGCUUGACACUGAACAUUGAGCCUUGAUGUGUAGGAUAGGUGGGAGACUAUGAAGUGUGGACGCCAGUCUGCAUGGAGUCAACCUUGAAAUACCACCCUUUAACGUUUGAUGUUCUAACCUAGGCCCGUAAUCCGGGUCGGGGACCGUGUCUGGUGGGUAGUUUGACUGGGGCGGUCUCCUCCUAAAGAGUAACGGAGGAGCACGAAGGUUGGCUAAGCAUGGUCGGACAUCAUGCGGUUAGUGCAAAGGCAUAAGCCAGCUUGACUGUGAGAGUGACGGCUCGAGCAGGUACGAAAGUAGGUCUUAGUGAUCCGGUGGUUCUGAAUGGAAGGGCCAUCGCUCAACGGAUAAAAGGUACUCCGGGGAUAACAGGCUGAUACCGCCCAAGAGUUCAUAUCGACGGCGGUGUUUGGCACCUCGAUGUCGGCUCAUCACAUCCUGGGGCUGAAGUAGGUCCCAAGGGUAUGGCUGUUCGCCAUUUAAAGUGGUACGCGAGCUGGGUUUAGAACGUCGUGAGACAGUUCGGUCCCUAUCUGCCGUGGGCGUUGGAAGAUUGAGAGGGGUUGCUCCUAGUACGAGAGGACCGGAGUGAACGCACCACUGGUGUUCGGGUUGUCAUGCCAAUGGCAUUGCCCGGUAGCUAAGUGCGGAAGAGAUAACCGCUGAAAGCAUCUAAGCGGGAAACUUGCCUCGAGAUGAGUCUUCCCUGUCACCUUGAGUGACCUAAAGGAACGUUUAAGACUAAGACGUUGAUAGGCUGGGUGUGUAAGCGUAGCGAUACGUUGAGCUAACCAGUACUAAUGAACCGUGAGGCUUAACCUGACAACACCGAAGGUGUUU
RNAcentral lists this ribosomal RNA (1694 nucleotides) under Proteus mirabilis. RNAcentral's name for it is "partial 23S ribosomal RNA". It matches the Rfam family "Bacterial large subunit ribosomal RNA", at positions 1270 to 2925 of the family's 2925-position model. RNAcentral also lists the same sequence under 1 other name. The record is from RNAcentral. Lineage: Bacteria; Pseudomonadati; Pseudomonadota; Gammaproteobacteria; Enterobacterales; Morganellaceae.